This 253-nucleotide ribosomal RNA is filed under the name uncultured bacterium. RNAcentral's name for it is "partial 16S ribosomal RNA". It matches the Rfam family "Bacterial small subunit ribosomal RNA", at positions 524 to 776 of the family's 1533-position model. The record is from RNAcentral.
CACGAACCGUACGAACGUUAUUCGGAAUCACUGGGCUUAAAGCGUGCGUAGGCGGCUUAGCAAGUUGAGUGUGAAAUCCCUCGGCCCAACCGAGGAACUGCGCCCAAAACUGCUAGGCUCGAGGGAGGUAGAGGUGAGCGGAACUAAUGGUGGAGCGGUGAAAUGCGUUGAUAUCAUAGGGAACACCGGUGGCGAAAGCGCAUCACUGGAUCUUUUCUGACGCUGAGGCACGAAAGCUAGGGUAGCGAACGGG